This 492-nucleotide ribosomal RNA is filed under the name uncultured bacterium. RNAcentral's name for it is "partial 16S ribosomal RNA". It matches the Rfam family "Bacterial small subunit ribosomal RNA", at positions 29 to 507 of the family's 1533-position model. The record is from RNAcentral.
AGUGAACGCUGGCGGUAGGCCUAACACAUGCAAGUCGAACGGCAGCACAGUAAGAGCUUGCUCUUACGGGUGGCGAGUGGCGGACGGGUGAGGAAUACAUCGGAAUCUACUUUUUCGUGGGGGAUAACGUAGGGAAACUUACGCUAAUACCGCAUACGACCUACGGGUGAAAGCAGGGGAUCUUCGGACCUUGCGCGAUUGAAUGAGCCGAUGUCGGAUUAGCUAGUUGGCGGGGUAAAGGCCCACCAAGGCGACGAUCCGUAGCUGGUCUGAGAGGAUGAUCAGCCACACUGGAACUGAGCCACUGUCCAGACUCCUACGGGAGGCAGCAGUGGGGAAUAUUGGACAAUGGGCGCAAGCCUGAUCCAGCCAUACCGCGUGGGUGAAGAAGGCCUUCGGGUUGUACAGCCCUUUUGUUGGGAAAGAAAAGCAGCAGGUUAAUACCCCGCUGUUCUGACGGUACCCAAAGAAUAAGCACCGGCUAACUUCGUG